CCUACGGGUGGCAGCAGUGAGGAAUAUUGGUCAAUGGGCGCGAGCCUGAACCAGCUAAGUAGCGUGAAGGAUGACUGCCCUACGGGUUGUAAACUUCUUUUAUAAAGGCAUAAAGUGAGGCACGUGUGCCUUUUUGUAUGUACUUUAUGAAUAAGGAUAGGCUAACCCCGUGCCAGCCGCCGCGGUAAUACGGAGGAUCCGAGCGUUAUCCGGAUUUAUUGGGUUUAAAGGGAGCGUAGAUGGGUUGUUAAGUCAGUUGUGAAAGUUUGCGGCGUAACCGUGAAAUUGCAAAUGAGACUGGCAGGCUUGAGUGCAGUAGAGGUAGGCGGAAUUCGUGGUGUAGCAGUGAAAUGCUUAGAUAUGACGAAGAACUCCGAUUGCGAAGGCAGCUUACUAAACUGCCACUGACAUUGAUGCUCGAAAUUGUGGGUAUCAAACAGGAUUAGAUACCCGAGUAGUC
RNAcentral lists this ribosomal RNA (460 nucleotides) under uncultured bacterium. RNAcentral describes it as "partial 16S ribosomal RNA". It matches the Rfam family "Bacterial small subunit ribosomal RNA", at positions 338 to 795 of the family's 1533-position model. The record is from RNAcentral.